This 253-nucleotide ribosomal RNA is filed under the name uncultured prokaryote. RNAcentral's name for it is "partial 16S ribosomal RNA". It matches the Rfam family "Bacterial small subunit ribosomal RNA", at positions 524 to 776 of the family's 1533-position model. The record is from RNAcentral.
UACGGAGGGUGCAAGCAUUGAUCGGAAUUACUGGGCGUAAAGGGCGCGUAGGCGGUUAGAAAAGUCAGAUGUGAAAUUCCGGGGCUCAACCUCGGAGCUGCAUCCGAAACUUUCUAGCUAGAGUUCAGUUAGGGAAAACGGAAUUCCACAUGUAGCGGUGAAAUGCGUAGAUAUGUGGAGGAACACCGGUGGUGAAGACGGUUUUCUGGGCUGAAACUGACGCUGAGGCGCGAAAGCAAGGGGAGCAAACAGG